RNAcentral lists this long non-coding RNA (1058 nucleotides) under Laticauda laticaudata (blue-ringed sea krait). RNAcentral describes it as "lncRNA (ENSLLTG00000009634.1)". Lineage: Eukaryota; Metazoa; Chordata; Lepidosauria; Squamata; Elapidae. The record is from RNAcentral.
UGCGGUCCAGGCUGAGGCUGUGUGGCAAACCGGUUCCUUGCCCAGAAGAGCCGUUGGUAAGCUUGGGAUGGAAGGAAGCCUUUGGAUGCCAAAGAAAAGCCGCCAUUGUUGCCAAACAGGCCAAACCGGAGCGAUUAAUCCACUUUAUCUGCCCGGAUAAUCCACUCUUCUCAGGUGGUUCCUAGGAAACACACUUUAGGGAGGUAGAGUCAGGAGGGACUGGGGGGGUGGGGUGGAAAGCCAGGCGGGGCACGGAGAAGCCAACAGAUGGGUGGGGCAGGGAGGGUGGAAGGGAGGGAAGGGGAAAUGAACAGGAGUGAAACCUGGCCAUGAAACCUGGCCGCUCUGGGAAGAAAAAAGGGGUUUCGGAGAAGGGGAGAAGAAAAGAAAGAAAAACAAGAGUCCGAGGCUCACUUCCAGGAGGGAACAAGCUCAAAUUCUCCAGGGUUCUCUGACUUCACAGACCAAGAUCAGUUAUAUGAUCCACGUGUGGCUGAAUCUGGCUGGUUUUAAUCAACUCAGUUGUUUGCAUUUACACAAUACCAUUAAUUAUUCGUUAACUGUGUUUUGGGUUGACAGAAGUCAUGAAACCACAAACCAAGGAGUCCAUUUGUGGCCUAGUAUGUUGUGUUAAUUCCGUCUAGGGAUGUCCACUCUUGGAAAUUUUAAGAGCUAUGGACUUCAAUUCCCAGAAUGGCUGAUUGGGGAAUUCUGGGAGUUGAAAGUCCACUAGUCUUAAAAGUUGCCAAAGUUGGAUAUCUCCAAUCUAGAGUGAAUUGUGAUCCCACACCAGCAGACCAAACAAUUUAUGAGAACAUUAUGGCUCUAAUAUUUGACUUUUGAAUCUUACAAGGAUAUGCAGUCAGGCUCUGACCUUGUUACAACCCCUCUCCAAAAUUUAGCCCUCUAAGCCAUUUUAAUAGCCUUUUAAGUAGCAACAGCUGGUAAGUGUGUCUUCCCAGACCACAGCCCCAGCUGGGCUGAAGGAUGAAAAUAAUCAGUUAUGGGUUUCAACAACACAUCCAAAAUCUGUAGAUUCACGAUUCACAACAAGGGUU